Molecule: ribosomal RNA, 447 nt
Filed under: uncultured bacterium
Lineage: Bacteria
Description: bacterial SSU rRNA
Rfam family: Bacterial small subunit ribosomal RNA
Source: RNAcentral
UCCAGACUCCUACGGGAGGCAGCAGUGGGGGAUAUUGCACAAUGGGGGGAACCCUGAUGCAGCGACGCCGCGUGGGUGAAGGAGUAUUUCGGUAUGUAAAGCCCUAUCGGCAGGGAAGAAGCAAGACGGUACCUGACUAAGAAGCCCCGGCUAACUACGUGCCAGCAGCCGCGGUAAUACGUAGGUGGCAAGCGUUGUCCGGAUUUACUGGGUGUAAAGGGGGCGCAGACGGCGAUGCAAGCCAGGAGUGAAAGCCCGGGGCCCAACCCCGGGACUGCUCUUGGAACUGCGUGGCUGGAGUGCAGGAGGGGCAGGCGGAAUUCCUGGUGUAGCGGUGAAAUGCGUAGAUAUCAGGAGGAACACCGGUGGCGAAGGCGGCCUGCUGGACUGCAACUGACGUUGAGGCCCGAAAGCGUGGGGAGCAAACAGGAUUAGAUACCCGCGUAA